RNAcentral lists this ribosomal RNA (491 nucleotides) under uncultured bacterium. Its description in RNAcentral is "partial 16S ribosomal RNA". It matches the Rfam family "Bacterial small subunit ribosomal RNA", at positions 29 to 507 of the family's 1533-position model. The record is from RNAcentral.
AGUGAACGCUGGCGGCAGGCCUAACACAUGCAAGUCGAACGGCAGCACAGUACGAGCUUGCUCUUACGGGUGGCGAGUGGCGGACGUGUGAGGAAAAUAUCGGAACCUACUUUUUCGUGGGGGAUCACGUAAGAAACUUACGCUCCUAAUGCAUGCGACCUACGGGUGAAAGCAGGGGAACUUCUGACCUUGCGCGGAUGAAUGAGCCGAUGUCGGAUUAGCUAGUUGGCGGGGUAAAGGCCCACCAAGGCGACGAUCCGUAGCCGGGCGGAGAGGAUGGUCGGCCACACGGGAACUGAGACACGGUCCAGACUACUACGGGAGGCCGCAGUGGGGAAUAUUGGACAAUGGGCGCAAGCCUGAUCCAGCCAGACCGCGUGGGUGAAGAAGGCCUUCGGGUUGUAAAGCCCUUUUGUGGGGAAAGAACAGCAGCAGGUUAAGACCCCGCUGUUCUGACGGUACCCAAAGAAUAAGCACCGGCUAACUUCGUG